AAUAAUAAUAUUACUAUCACAAUUAAUUUUUUAAUUUACAUUUAAAUAUUUGUUUUUAUAUCCCGUGUCUGCAGAACACAAAUUACUCAUGAUUGUCUAUGCAUCUAUAAAGCGAGCAAGAUAAUCCAUAAAUUUGAUAGUAUAACUAGCUAAACAUAUACGUGAUGAAAUGUAAAUAUCUCUCUAGUCAAUUCUUCUUCUAUUUCUUACUUUUUCUCUGUCUUCAAUUUGAUGGAGAUGAUCCAUUUGGUAUCAUCGGUAUCAAAGAAGUAAACAAAAACUAUAAAAUGGCCCCUCUCAUGUGUUGUUCGUGAACUCCCUCUCCAUAUGCCCUUUUCAACCAACAACACAAACCGGUAAAAGCAGCGUUAGGAUUGCUACUAUGCAACGUAUGUGGGUCCUCUUCCUGUUAACAACCACGUCAUUUUGGUCAAUUCAGCGCAAGAUCAAAUUGGUGCUUCUUCUAGUUUUUAUUUUGUGCAUGGAGACCUAUACCCUCUCUUUCCAUCAAUACUUGGACACAGACAUUGCAAGCUGGCCACUUCGUAGUCUCAUAAUAAUCAUUUUGGAAGAUGUCAAUUAAUGAAGAUCAAAAUAUGAUAAUGAGAGGAAUAAUAGAAAACAAUAUAAAGCUUAUAUGACG
This 643-nucleotide long non-coding RNA is filed under the name Cicer arietinum (chickpea). RNAcentral describes it as "long non-coding RNA (CARI_LNC002863)". Lineage: Eukaryota; Viridiplantae; Streptophyta; Magnoliopsida; Fabales; Fabaceae. The record is from RNAcentral.